Molecule: long non-coding RNA, 420 nt
Organism: Amphibalanus amphitrite
Lineage: Eukaryota; Metazoa; Arthropoda; Thecostraca; Balanomorpha; Balanidae
Exons: 3
Source: RefSeq, a predicted model, not a curated record
CGAAAGGCGACAGAUCAUGGCUUAAUCUGGGAUUCUGCCUCUGGUGAGAAAGAACUUAAGAAGCAUGGACAUCAGAAGGUUUUUUACCAAAAGACCGGAGCCGGCUGGCGCGCUGGUACUGCACCCGGCCCGUGGCCUGGCGCGUCUGUCGCGUCAUCGUCGCGGUCAGCAUCGCCUUCAACAUCCCCUACUUCCUGCCGUUCACGGUGGACGCCGACGACGGCAUCCGGCCCACAGCCUUCUACUUCAGCAGGUACUACCAGGUGCACAACUGGGUGCGGUUCGCGGUGCUGGGCCUGGGUGCGGCGCUGUUCCUCGGCGUCGGGAACCUGGUGCUGCUGGUGUCGCUACGGAGGAGCUGCGCGCGCCGGCGCACGCUGCUCUCCCAGCGCAAACACUGGGAGGAGCGCCGACUCAAGG